GGCUGUUCCUAUGGUAGUGGGUUAUCAGAAUUUAUUAACAUUAGUGUCACUAAAGUUGGUAUUCAACCCCCACUGCUAAAUUUGACUGACUAAA
This 94-nucleotide Y RNA is filed under the name Microcebus murinus (gray mouse lemur). RNAcentral describes it as "Y RNA (ENSMICG00000046686.1)". It matches the Rfam family "Y RNA". Rfam says of the family: Y RNAs are components of the Ro ribonucleoprotein particle (Ro RNP), in association with Ro60 and La proteins. The Y RNAs and Ro60 and La proteins are well conserved, but the function of the Ro RNP is not known. In humans the RNA component can be one of four small RNAs -- hY1, hY3, hY4 and hY5. Lineage: Eukaryota; Metazoa; Chordata; Mammalia; Primates; Cheirogaleidae. The record is from Rfam by way of RNAcentral.